GUCGAGCGGAUCGAUGGGAGCUUGCUCCCUGAGAUCAGCGGCGGACGGGUGAGUAACACGUGGGUAACCUGCCUGUAAGACUGGGAUAACUCCGGGAAACCGGGGCUAAUACCGGAUAAUUUAGUUCCUCGCAUGAGGAACUGUUGAAAGGUGGCUUUUCCCUCCCCUUUACAAAGGACCCCCGGCCCAUUACUAUUUGGGAAGGUAACGGCCCACCAAGGCACCAAUGCUUACCCAACCUAAAAGGGUGACCGGCCCACCCGGGAACUGAAACCCGGCCCAAACCCCUCCGGAAGGCACCAUUAGGAAUCCUUCCCCAUAGGAACAAAAUUCUAACGAACCACCCCCCCCGGAUUGAAAAAGGUUUCCGAACCCUAAAUUUCUGUUGUUAGGAAAACAGUUGCCUUUCAAUAGGGGGVCCCCUUGGCGUCCCACCCAAAAAGCCCCGGUUACUUACUUGCCACCACCCCCGUAUUAC
RNAcentral lists this ribosomal RNA (478 nucleotides) under marine sediment bacterium ISA-3174. RNAcentral's name for it is "bacterial SSU rRNA". It matches the Rfam family "Bacterial small subunit ribosomal RNA", at positions 61 to 526 of the family's 1533-position model. The record is from RNAcentral.